RNAcentral lists this long non-coding RNA (12159 nucleotides) under Salvia miltiorrhiza (redroot sage). RNAcentral's name for it is "long non-coding RNA (SMIL_LNC006841)". The record is from RNAcentral. Lineage: Eukaryota; Viridiplantae; Streptophyta; Magnoliopsida; Lamiales; Lamiaceae.
UGUGAUUUUUGGACUUGUUGGUGAAUAUGCUUGUGAAGGGCUAUACCUUGCUGAAGGAUUGUAACUUGGUGAGGUUGGACUGUAAGUUGGUGAGGUGGGACUGUAUCCAGGCGAAGUUGGGCUGUAGGCAGGUGAGGUUGGGCUAUAUGAUGGCGAGGUUGGGCUGUACGAUGGAGAGGUUGGGCUAUAUGAAGGUGAGGUUGGGCUGUAAGAUGGAGAGGUUGGGCUGUAAGAGGGUGAGGUAGGGCUGUAAGAGGGUGAUGUGGGGCUGUAAGACGGAGACGUGGGGCUGUAAGCCGGAGAGGUUGGGCUAUACGCAGGUGAGGUUGGGCUGUAUGCUGGAGAAGUUGGGCUGUAGCUCGGAGAUGUAGGGCUGUAGCUCGGAGAUGUGGGGCUAUAGCUAGGAGAUGUUGGGCUGUAGGAAGGAGACGUUGGUGAAUAAGAUGGGCUUGUGGGAGAAUACGCAGGGCUUGUAGGACUAUAUCCAGGAGAACUAGGACUAUAUGUUGGGGACGUAGGGCUGUAACCAGGGGAAGUAGGACUGUACCCAGGUGAGGUGGGGCUGUAUCCAGGAGAUGACGGGCUGUAUCCAGGAGAUGAAGGGCUGUACCCUGGAGAUGAUGUAGGAGAAAACGCCAUCCCGCCCACAUACGGAGAAAACUGAGCAUCUGAAACAGGAGAUAACCGAAGAUUUGGGCUCAGCAUAUAAUUUGGUGACAUCAUGCCAUCAUGAUAUGGGGUCCCUGAGAUGGGUGAACGGCCAGGAGUCAUGCCAAACUCCAGUCCACCUUCCAUAUAACUGGGCAGAGGGAUCUCAAUAGCUUGUUUAGCAUCUCUUCAUUCAUAUACAAAGCACAAUCACCUGUGCCAAUAGGUGCAAGCUGUCCUAACAUGAUAUUCUCAGUUACACCCCUGAGGUAAUCUGUUUCUGCAUACACAGCAGCAUCAAGAAGAAUGUCCACUGUUUCUUCAAAGGAGCAUCUCAUCAUGGGGCCAGUAUCGUUGCGAUUGAUACCAUGACGGGUGAUGGCCAUCAAGUGACCACGAUAUGUCAUGGUAUCACACAAUAUAGCCAAAUGUCUAUAGUUCACGUAAGACCCAUCAAAUGAUAUGACAACACGCAACUCAUCCAGCAAGGCUUUGCGAACUGCCUCAAUGCCAAGAACUUCAAUAACUUCAAUCAAAUGAUUGCUUGUUGUCCUACUUGCAUCUACAUCUUCAUGGCAAAUUACAGCUAAAAGAUUAACACCUUCGGUGUCAAGCAUCCACUCAUUCUCAGCCUUGAAGCCUUCAUUUUCAUCAAACUUAUUUACCUUGCCAUUCUUUAUGAACACCUUAUUGAUAUCUGGUAUGCCUCGAAGAGCCAUUUCUGUAAGCAUGUUACCCUCAAUCUUUUUGAGGAAGACAUCAUCCUCAGCAGAUUCAUCAUUCAACUCACCUUUAGGGGCUUCAUCAUUCAUAAUACGAAUACGAAGGAUAAGCUUUUCAGCAUUAUCAUCAUUAAAUAUGCACGUUAGAUCACUAUCAAAUUCAGCAUUAAUCUUAUGGGAAAUAUCAGCCAUGUUGAGUUUCUUAUCCACCAUCAUUUCUCUGUUUAACUCUAUGCGAAGCAACCACGGAGAGAUCUUGUCGGGGUCAACAUCAUCAUCUGGCAUCUCAAAGUAGGACGUCACAAAUUCAACAUCUUCCUCAAUAAUAGUGCUCUUAGGAUCUGGAUCGUACCAUACCUCUGUUGCUUGUGUUACACUCCGCAAGGUUGUAUACUCCAGAGCGCACUGGACAUUUUUGGCCUUCUCCUUAGUUUUGCUUACACCAGGCUUCAAGUAUACCGAGAGNAGGUAAUCUGUUUCUGCAUACACAGCAGCAUCAAGAAGAAUGUCCACUGUUCUCAAAGGAGCAUCUCAUCAUGGGGCCAGUAUCGUUGCGAUUGAUACCAUGACGGGUGAUGGCCAUCAAGUGACCACGAUAUGUCAUGGUAUCACACAAUAUAGCCAAAAUGUCUAUAGUUCACGUAAGACCCAUCAAAUGAUAUGACAACACGCAACUCAUCCAGCAAGGCUUUGCGAACUGCCUCAAUGCCAAGAACUUCAAUAACUUCAAUCAAAUGAUUGCUUGUUGUCCUACUUGCAUCUACAUCUUCAUGGCAAAUUACAGCUAAAAGAUUAACACCUUCGGUGUCAAGCAUCCACUCAUUCUCAGCCUUGAAGCCUUCAUUUUCAUCAAACUUAUUUACCUUGCCAUUCUUUAUGAACACCUUAUUGAUAUCUGGUAUGCCUCGAAGAGCCAUUUCUGUAAGCAUGUUACCCUCUAAUCUUUUUGUAGGAAGACAUCAUCCUCAGCAGAUUCAUCAUUCAACUCACCUUUAGGGGCUUCAUCAUUCAUAAUACGAAUACGAAGGAUAAGCUUUUCAGCAUUAUCAUCAUUAAAUAUGCACGUUAGAUCACUAUCAAAUUCAGCAUUAAUCUUAUGGGAAAUAUCAGCCAUGUUGAGUUUCUUAUCCACCAUCAUUUCUCUGUUUAACUCUAUGCGAAGCAACCACGGAGAGAUCUUGUCGGGGUCAACAUCAUCAUCUGGCAUCUCAAAGUAGGACGUCACAAAUUCAACAUCUUCCUCAAUAAUAGUGCUCUUAGGAUCUGGAUCGUACCAUACCUCUGUUGCUUGUGUUACACUCCGCAAGGUUGUAUACUCCAGAGCGCACUGGACAUUUUUGGCCUUCUCCUUAGUUUUGCUUACACCAGGCUUCAAGUAUACCGAGAGAGAGGGUGUUUUAAUUUUCUUAGCAACAUUAAUAAUCUCCCUCAACCUUGGAACACCUAAAGUUAACAAUUCUUGGCACUCACACCAGCAUAGUGAAAUGUAUUGAGGGUCAUCUGUGUAGCAGGUUCACCAAUGGAUUGUGCAGCAACACAUCCUAUCAUUUCACCAGCAGCAACAAGUGACUGAAGAAAACGGGAUUCUAUCUCGCCAACUACCCAGUCAAAAGCCUCACGGGUAAGUCUGUACUCCUUCAGGACCCUUUUACUUGCUAAAGCACUACGAAGCAAUAUAUUGAAGAAAAGAGUAGCAUUCUUCUGUGCUUCCAAACUCAGAUAAUCAUCACCAACAACCACCUUAAGCCUUUCUUGUAACUUAUCAACAGCUUCUACAAUCUCCAUUGGAUGCAUAUCAGACGGUCUCCGAAAAUCAACUCUAAAGGUCUUCUGUGCAUUCAAAACAAGCCUCUUGAUGUUGACAGGGAGGGGCCAAGAAUUGUCACCCGUGGUGGCAAUCUCUGUUCCAAGUUGAUACCUAUCGGCUUCAAGUUUCUGAACCUCUGCAUCAAACACACUGCGGAUUUCACGAAUCGUUUUCAGAUCUUCCACAGCUUCAGGUAACAUAUAAUUAGGAUUCCAGUUUGGGUGAUCAAUCUCAUAUUUGUACAUGUCAUUGAAAUCCGAUCUCUUCAACUUCAGUGAUUCCAAAGGCUGUGAUUCAAUCCAAACUGCAUCCAUACCAUCUUCCCCGUACAGAAACUGAAUCACAUCACCUAACGAAUUCCUAACAGUCCCAUCAUACUUAACCAUGAUAUCUUCCAUAGCCUUCACCAAUCGCCUCUGAAUAUAUCCAGUCUCAGAAGUUUUCACUGCAGUGUCAAUAAGACCUUCCCUACCACCCAUGGCAUGGAAAAAGAACUCUUGAGGAGACAAUCCUCGAAGAUAUGAGUUCUCCACAAAACCACGACUCUCUGGACCAUAAUCAUCUUUGGUGAAGUGUGGAAGUGUGCGAUCCACAAAACCAAAAGGAAUUCGCUUGCCUUCAACAUUCUGCUGACCCACACAUGCAGUCAUCUGAGAAAUAUUGAUGAAACUUCCCUUAGACCCUGCAGUGACCAUAGCUUUGAGGUUGUUACUUUCUGCCAAGCUCUUCUGAGCACUGCUUCCAGCAUCAUCACGAGCCUUAUUCAACACCUGAAGGCACAAAACAUAUAUAAGGGAAUCACCAGGCUGCAGCAAGGAAAUCAAAAUUUUUAACAAACCUGGUUAACUCUGUUCUCGAACGAUUCCAUCAUUGUUCUUCCUGGCUCAGCUUCCAAUUGCUUUUCUUGUGCAGCCCUGAUAAGUUCAUUCACCUCAUUCUUAGCUUUGUUAAUAGUUUCAGAGAUCUUCGUCAUUGUAUCAUGAUCAGCAAUUGUAUCUCCAAUUCCCAUGCUAAAAGCGUUCUGCAAAAGCCAAUAAUUGACCAGCCAUUGUGUAUGUCCCAAAAAUUUCCGAGCUGCAUCUGGACCGACUUCUUCCCUGAGACCAGUAUACAUUAUAUUAAACACAUAAAUAUGAAUAAAGAAUCUUUCGGGCUUUCAGUUCAUUAUUAUAAUAUUUAUUACUCCUUGUUUCAUGUGCCAUAUCAUAUGUUUUGAUGUCACAAAUGCUAUAAUAUUCACACAGAAGAGCUACUAGAGUGGAGGAAGACUGAUAUAUGCAAAAGCUAAAUUGUUAAAGAGUACAGAAAUUUUCAAUAAGAUACUCAUGUAGUUUUAAACUUCUGAAGAAAAUUAAUCUUCUCUUCUACAAAUUCCGAUGGAGUAAGCAAAGGAACACUUUCUUGAAAUGGCAUUAGUUUUAUUGAUAUCUAUAAUGAGUGCAAGCAUGGAGAUUGAUAAAGUGUUUUGUCUGCAAAGAAACAGUACCCAUUUUUUUGUGCCAAAAGGAGAAUCUUUUUGCUAGUGAAAAGAGAGGGUAUUUCAUUGGUAACUCAAGCAAGUUCUUUUGAAAGUAUUACUUCUUCAAUCAACAUAUUGCGAGUUCUGACUCAUUUGCGAGAUCCUAGAAUAUAUAAAUAAAAGACACCAACUUCAUUUAAAGUAUUUGCAUACAUAUGCUCCCAAUCCCCAUUGCCCAUAGAGCAAUGGACCAAUUUAAUACAACAUGAAUUCUUCAGAAGAUAAAAGUGAAAGUCAUGCUUUUGCUCUUAAAUUUAAGGUUGAACGAAAAAUGUGACCCGCAAACAGCCCCAUACCUCCAUUUUACCCAACUUUCCACUUAUUACAUUUUGCUACUAGAUACUUCAGGUAUGUUACCCGCAAUCAGCCCCAAUUCAUAAUAUGGAUAAGUUGGGUGGGCGUUUAGGAGACAAUAGUUUCCUUUCAAAACCCACCAAAUGCAGAAAUGGUACUGCAAAAAUUCCAGAAAGAACGUACCAAAUAACAUGUAUGAGACUUCCACUAGAUGACCCGAGUGUUUUCUUGCAUAGGGUGCCUGAAAGUAACUCCCCUUUUUCUAUCCGUACUUGAGUAUCCCCAGGAGUAAUAAAUCCUUUUUCAGUUUCUUGAUGCCAUGAAGAAUACCUUAAUAGAUUUAUCUGUCUUGGAAUGAUUAAAUUAAAUACUUGUUUCCCAGUCCAAAGAGGCUUAGGUUUCAGAAUUGUUGGAGCAGGUACUUUGCCAUCAAAAUCCUCCCACCACAUAAGGAUGUUCAUAAAAACAUCCUGCGAACAAUACAGACAGCGAUAUCAGAUUGAAUGUGGACACUUACCUAAAAAUUACAUAAUGAUGACAGAAAAUCAAAUGUUACCUUGUCAAUAAAAGUAUCUCUCUUAGUGAUUUUGCGACAUCCUAGUAGUGUAUCCUGCACAAUACCCAUUACAGGUCGAUUUGAUUGAGGUGACACGAUGCAUUUUGGAACCAUCAUUAAUUCCAGAACUUCGGCUCUAGUUUCAAAUGACUGGGGCACGUGCAUAUUCAUUUCAUCUCCAUCAAAAUCAGCAUUGUAGGGUGAGGUAACAGACAGAUUUAAGCGGAAUGUUGAAUAUGGCAUAAUCUUGAUUCUGUGGCCCAUAAUGGACAUCUUAUGGAGACUCGGUUGCCGAUUGAACAGGACAAAGUCUCCAUCAUUUAAAUGUCUCUCAACCUGUACCAUCAAAUAAUAGGAAUCAGGUGUCAAAAGGAAUCCAAUGCUUGAUCAUUCUCAAUUAUAUAGCUGGGAGUCUCACCUUAUAUCCAAGUUCUAGAUGCUGAUCACUACUCUUUUUCAAGUACCGGAGAUCAAGCCUCUGUCCAUCAUCCCUAAUAAUAUAUUUUGCGCCAGUUUUACCAGGAGGGGGAUGAGGUCCAUAUUCCACAAGCUCUUUCAAUCUAUUUUCAAGGUCAAUAUCUGGUUAACAAGAAUAACCAAAAAGUAUAGAGGGAUCACUAUCAAGAAAUAUGGUAAGAGUGCCUAACCUUUCGAUGUUAUAUGGAGUUACAGUUUCAGGAUAUGUAAGAUUUAAGGCAAUACUCCAAGGCACACCCAGCUGGUCGAUGUUGAUUGUUGGGUCAGGUGUAAUCACAGUCCGAGCCGAAAAAUCUACUCGCUUACCCAUCAAGUUACCUCUGAUCCUACCAUCUUUUGCCUUAAGCCUGCUACAUAUUGAUUUAAUGGGUCUGCCAGAUCUUUGGGUAGCCUGAUGUAUACAAGGAUACUUCACUUGUUAGAUAAAUGAUGUUCCAGGAACUGCAUCCACAGUCUCAAUAUACUGAAAUAAUAUAACAUACUCUUGGUUGACCAGGUAAAUCGUUAUCAAAGUAUGUAGCCACAUGGAACUGCAGCAACUGUGCAAACUCAGAGAUGAUGUGUGCAGGAGCCCCAUUCCGCUCCUGCCUCUUUAAGUUCUCAUUAUGCCUAAUGAUCAUGGCCAGUUGAUGAGUUAAAUCAUCCUGCAUAAAUUGAUUCAAUUAUUAGAUUCUCCUGCAACUUAAAAGCAGCAAUCCGAGGAACAUGCAAUUGAUUGACUUGAUCAGUUUGCAGUGAACAGAACCCGAUACACUUAUCUGACCUAAAGGAACAAUUAGGGGUAAUCUAAACACCCAUGACAUUGUAGAGAUCAAAAGGAGAAGUCAUGCCUCACUCCGAGAAGAAGUAUCCAUCAUUACAGAAGGCCUAACUGGAGGAGGAGGGAUUGGAAGAACUUGAAGAAUCAUCCAGUCAGGGCGAGCAUAUUUUGGAUUCAAGCCCAACAACUGACAAUCUUCAUCAGUAAUUCUCUUCAGUAUGCUGAGCACCUGAAACAAAAAGGAAAUAGAGAUUGUUGGGAUUAGCGCAUAAAUCAAUCUAUCACAUUAUCCAGGCUGGAAAAAAAAGUUUGAAUCCCUAUUCUCUGGCAAUUUAUGAUAUAUGAUACCUUCUCUGCAGAGAGAAGUUGUUUUCGUUCAACAGGUUCAGGCAUCUGGUCCUGGUCAUCACUUUUCUUCUUCUGAAUCUUGUAUUCAGCAACCAUUUUCAUCCCAUCUAUAGAAAUCUUUGGCUGCUGAGCACCGCAUCCACCCCUAGACUUCUUCACAGGUUCUUCCGAAUCUUGACCUCGCACAUCGAUCUCAUCACCUCCUUCACAUUUGGAUUUGUUUUUGCAGGCAUCUAAUAUCUUCUUUAAUCUAUUCUUAGGGUUUCUAAUUCUCAUUGCUUGCUUGAACUUGGGAUCGUCCUAGAAAAAUUAACAAGGGAUCAAAAUACAUUGCAAAAGAAAACGAUUGUUCCAACUUCCAAGUAACUUUAUUUCCAUUUGAAGUAUAAUAUUCAGGCAAUAAUGAAAAUAACUAACUUUUACAACAGCAACACUCCUAGGAGAUGCAUCCAGAUGAUGAAAUACCUCAAACUGCUUCUAUCUUACCAAUAUGCAUUUCUAUAAAAGUAACACAAUUAUUGAAGACAUAACAGAACCUAGAAGCCUAAAACUGGAUCGUUGCUAGUCAUAAGUCUUACUAUCCAGUCACUCUUGCAAGUAAUAAGAAUGUUACAAUUAAAUCAGUUGCCCAGUUCAGGAUGGUCAUGAAUAAGACAGAAGUCUGACCCUCCUAGUAUACGAACAUAUACAUGAAAUAAGCAUUUUCCGUGAAUCCAGCAUAUGUUAUACACUUCUGAAAAAUUCAGUCUGCUACUCAGGCCUCACAACAGCGGAAUCAAUAGUCAUACCCAAUAUGAACCAAGUGAGCAUGACUGUACAAAUUCAUACUACUUAAACCGAAAACGUCCAUAACUUCAAUCUAACUACUCGGGAAAUGUACAAUACCUCAUCCGCUAAAAUCUUAGAGCAAUUGAAGCAGACACUGCGGAGAAUACUGAGCACAGUCUUCAUGAAGCCAAUGUGAAACAUAGGUUUGGCGAGCUCAAGGUGACCGAAGUGACCGGGGCAGUCAGCCAUGUUCGCCAUACAAGUCUCGCACUUCAUCUUCCGAUCAAUCGUCCCCAGACGCGGGUCGCUCAAACCACCGAUCUUCGGCUUGCCUCUUUCCGUCGUCUCGCUGUGCUCUAUAUGCACAACAGACAUUUGUCUCUACAAAACACACCAUAAAACAAUAGACCAUCAUUUCCAACUCAAUCACACACUCAAUGCCGAAACUGAAAGUUCAAAACAUUCAAAGAAGUGAGAAUUACGAUCUCAUCGGGGCUGAGAAUGCCGAAUUGGACGACGCGGACUUUCGCGACCUCUGCCGGCGAGAAGGGGAACCGCAGAUCCAUUGCGACACCGGAGAUUCUACCCUAGGGUUUUCGAUUAUGAUUUAUUAUGCUAGCUGAUAUAUAAUAAUUCCAAAAUUAGAAACAAAUAUGGUUUUCAAGUACUUCAAAUUAUUCGCGGUUUCUGUUAAGUAACUGAUUUUUGGGGUUUUUGAAGAAAACUUUUUUCACGCUGCGCUCUUCUCUGAAGGAGGAGAGGCGGCUUUGAGACCAAAGAAGAGAAUGAGGGGUUGAAGGGGUAUUUAAAGAGAUGGAUGGCUUCGAAGUCGGCGCUUAAUGGGGUUGUUUGGCUACACAGUUAUGAGCUGGACAUCUUCCUCUCGUUUGGUCCAUCUAUUAAAAAAUCUUCUUAAUCUAUUUUUAAACAUAAUUUCAUCAACUAUUAUCCUUAUAAUUUUCAUUUUUUGUAAGACUCAUUUUUCACUUAUCAAGUAUACAAUUAAUUUUUAUUAAAAUUCAUGUCACCCUCCUUUAUAAAGAUCUUUGAGAAAUGAAGGGAGUGUUAAUUCCAAAUAUUUGGUAAAAUAAGUACAUAAAUACUCAUUUCGUCCCAACUUUUAGUAUCAAUUUAAGAAUGACACGUGUUUUAAUAAAGUUGUUAAGUGUGUUGUGAGUGGAAUAAGGGUCUCGCAUUUUACGUGAAUGUUAAAAUAAUUAAAGUGGAGUAAGGGUCUCACCUACUUUUACUAAAAAUAAAAAUGAAUAUCAAAAUAUGGAACGGCCAAAAAAGGAAAUAUGAAUACUAAAAGUUGGGACGAAGAUAGUAGUUUACAAGCUCUACAAAUAAGUUUCUACAAUUUAUAAGCUUUUCAAACUACAAACUUUUUACCAUAAAUUACUUUUUCAUAAUUUUAUACUUCCUUCAUCCCAAUUCNCUUAUAAUUUUUCAUUUUUUUGUAAGACUCAUUUUUUCACUUAUCAAGUAUACAAUUAAUUUUUAUUAAAAUUCAUGUCACCCUCCUUUAUAAAGAUCUUUGAGAAAUGAAGGGAGUGUUAAUUCCAAAUAUUUGGUAAAAUAAGUACAUAAAUACUCAUUUCGUCCCAACUUUUAGUAUCAAUUUAAGAAUGACACGUGUUUUAAUAAAGUUGUUAAGUGUGUUGUGAGUGGAAUAAGGGUCUCGCAUUUUACGUGAAUGUUAAAAUAAUUAAAGUGGAGUAAGGGUCUCACCUACUUUUACUAAAAAUAAAAAUGAAUAUCAAAAUAUGGAACGGCCAAAAAAGGAAAUAUGAAUACUAAAAGUUGGGACGAAGAUAGUAGUUUACAAGCUCUACAAAUAAGUUUCUACAAUUUAUAAGCUUUUCAAACUACAAACUUUUUACCAUAAAUUACUUUUUCAUAAUUUUAUACUUCCUUCAUCCCAAUUCAAUAGGCCACAAGACAAGGCUUGGACAUGGAUAUUAAGAAGCGAAUAGUUUAUAAUAAAAUACGAGAGAGAAAGUAGCUUUUUUUAGAGUAAAUUUGUGAAAAAAGUAGGAGAGAGUAGAGAUAAUUUUGUGGGAUCACAAUGAUAUUUGAUGUACAUAAUGAGUUGUGCGAAGGUGUUUGUUAUAUACUAUGAUUUUUUAUUUUAGGAAGUGACCUAUUGAAUUGGAACGUCCAAAUAAGGAUUCAUGACAUAUUUAAAUGGAACUGAGGGAGUAAUAUAUUUUACAAAAAUUAUUCAAUUAUACUUUAUUACUAUUUUCAUCAUAUACACUUUAAACCACUUUGCAAAAAUUAACUCAAUCAUAUAAAUACUUUCACAACUUAUAAGCUCUUACAAAAAUACAUUUUUAAAAUUUUUGAAACAUUUUAUAAAUUGCUACAAUUAUAAAUUUCUUAAAAUAAGCUUAUCCAAACAUCCCCUUAAUUCUACAACAAAAUUUUAACAAAUGGAGUAUAAAUGAGCUAUGAUUGGUAACAUAUUUUUCCUACAAAAAUAAUAAGCGAUAGGUAACAUAACUAGCGUGGGAACUAAGAAUCAAUCUGGUCUAUUAAUUUGAUUAAAUGAUCAUGAUUGAUUUCCAUAUUGAACAAUACAUAUAUAUGAUAAUGCAUCAGUUUAUGCCAGAAAUUAUGCCAUGCUGAUAAAUAAUACUCCAUUCGUCCCAAACGAAAUGUCCUAUUUCUUUUCGGUACGGAAAUUAAGAAAUGUGUAUAAAAUAGAUUAAGUGGGUUGGUGAAAAUUAUUUAAAUAUUAAGUAUAGAGAGAGAGUGUAGUGCCAAAAAAGGAAACAUGACAUUUCGUUUGAGAUAGCCCAAAAAGGAAAACAGUACAUUUCGUUUGGAACGGAGGGAGUAUAGUGCAUACUUAUAAUAAACAACGUAGUUUUAAGUGUGGUGCCCACUUCGGGGGAGCUUGUUGGAUUUAUAAUAAACGACGUAGUUUUCAUAUAUACAAAAAAUCCUCUUCCAUUGAGAUGGUUUCUUACAUUCUUGGCUUCAGCUGCGCAUGGCUUAUCUAUGCAUGCAUUAUUUUAGUUAUAAGCAAUUUAGUAAAUAAAAUAACAAAAUGGAUGGAUUAACAUUGCCACAAAACAUGAUGACACUAUUAGUAUUUUACUUCAAAGGGGAAGAAAAAAAAACUUUAUACGAAUGAAAGAAUGCCAUGUUAAACAAUCUCUCUUAGCCAAAUUGGAAAGCUAUGAGACCAAACAAAUGGACUACAAAUUAAAAAAGAGGUUAUAAAGUGACACGGGACUUAUACGCCACGUGCGGAGUUCAGCUGCCCGACUGCCGGAGUUCAGCUGCCCGACUGCCGGCCUGGUAUGAAAAUGAUUGGGUUAGGGUAGGGUGUCCCAUGCAACAAAUCCUCAUUCCACCUUCCCUUUGUCAGUUUCAUUUACCACACUAAGCCAUGUAAACAAUACCAACACAAUCACAAAAUCAGCAAAUCUAUUCGAACUCGCUUGGCCUAUGGUGAAAGCAGGAUGGAAAAGAAAGCAAAAUAAGCAAAGGUAAAUAUACCUGCUUGGACUGGAAGGAGAAAAAGAUGGUGAUGUUGGGCUGCAAAACCACAGAAAAUAAUAUGUCAAGGUAGCAUUUGAAAGAGAGUUUCACCAGUUCAGAAUAUAUCCUAGUCUUGUCGGGGAAAUAAAACAAAAAGAGUAAUACUCUAGGGAACAAUUUAUCCAGCUUCCUCUGUGGACAAUCAAGUAUAGAAACAGAGUAAUACAUUUAACCAAGGUUAUAUUUGUUAGCAAACUUGAAGAGCAAAAAUUAAAAUAAGGCUUGCCAAAAGUUACCUGAGACUCGGAGAAUAUGGACUGUACGGACUUGAAGGUGUGAUUUUUGGACUUGUAGGUGAAUAUGCUUGUGAAGGGCUAUACCUUGCUGAAGGAUUGUAACUUGGUGAGGUCAGACUGUAAGUCGGUGAGGUGGGACUGUAUCCAGGUGAAGUUGGGCUGUAGGCAGGAGAGGUAGGGCUGUAUGAAGGUGAGGUUGGGCUGUACGAUGGAGAGGUUGGGCUGUAAGAUGGUGAGGUUGGGCUGUAAGAGGGAGACGUGGGGCUGUAAGCCGGAGAAGUUGGGUUAUAAGCAGGUGAGGUUGGGCUGUAAGAGGGAGACGUGGGGCUGUAAGCCGGAGAAGUUGGGCUAUACGCAGGUGAGGUUGGGCUGUAUGCUGGAGAAGUUGGGCUGUAGCUCGGAGAUGUAGGGCUGUAGCUCGGAGAUGUGGGGCUAUAGCUAGGAGAUGUUGGGCUGUAGGAAGGAGACGUUG